AGCAGCGUGGCUCAGUGGAAAGAGCACGGGCUUGGGAGUCAGAGGUCAUGGGUUCGACUCCCGGCUCUGCCA
This 72-nucleotide transfer RNA is filed under the name Ornithorhynchus anatinus (platypus). It matches the Rfam family "tRNA". From Rfam's summary of the family: Transfer RNA (tRNA) molecules are approximately 80 nucleotides in length. Their secondary structure includes four short double-helical elements and three loops (D, anti-codon, and T loops). Further hydrogen bonds mediate the characteristic L-shaped molecular structure. tRNAs have two regions of fundamental functional importance: the anti-codon, which is responsible for specific mRNA codon recognition, and the 3' end, to which the tRNAs corresponding amino acid is attached (by aminoacyl-tRNA synthetases). tRNAs cope with the degeneracy of the genetic code in two manners: having more than one tRNA (with a specific anti-codon) for a particular amino acid; and 'wobble' base-pairing, i.e. permitting non-standard base-pairing at the 3rd anti-codon position. The record is from Rfam by way of RNAcentral. Lineage: Eukaryota; Metazoa; Chordata; Mammalia; Monotremata; Ornithorhynchidae.